Molecule: ribosomal RNA, 263 nt
Filed under: uncultured bacterium
Lineage: Bacteria
Description: partial 16S ribosomal RNA
Rfam family: Bacterial small subunit ribosomal RNA
Source: RNAcentral
CCGGCGCACGGGUGAGUAACACGUAUGCAACCUGGCCGUCACAGGUGGAUAACCGGAAGAAAUUCCGACUAAUACAGCAUAACACUCCUGAGGGACAUCCCUUGGGAGUCAAAGGAGGCAACUCCGGUGACGGAUGGGCAUGCGGCGCAUUAGGUAGUUGGUAGGGUAACGGCCUACCAAGCCGACGAUGCGUAGGGGUUCUGAGAGGAAGGUCCCCCACAUAGGAACUGAGACACGGUCCAAACUCCUACGGGAGGCAGCAG